GAUGAACGCUAGCGGCAGGCCUAACACAUGCAAGUCGAGGGGUAGCAGGAUUAAGCUUGCUUAAUAGCUGACGACCGGCGCACGGGUGCGUAACGCGUAUGCAACCUACCUUAUACUGGGGUAUAGCCCGGAGAAAUUCGGAUUAAUCCCCCAUAGUACUAAUGAAUCGCAUGGUUUAUUAGUUAAAGCAUUGCGGUAUAAGAUGGGCAUGCGUCCUAUUAGCUAGAUGGUGAGGUAACGGCUCACCAUGGCUACGAUAGGUAGGGGGCCUGAGAGGGUGGUCCCCCACGCUGGUACUGAGACACGGACCAGACUCCUACGGGAGGCAGCAGUGAGGAAUAUUGGUCAAUGGGCGCAAGCCUGAACCAGCCAUGCCGCGUGCAGGAAGAAUGCCCUAUGGGUUGUAAACUGCUUUUAUUUGGGAAUAAACCUCUUUACGUGUAGAGAGCUGAAGGUACCAAAUGAAUAAGCACCGGCUAACUCCGUGCCAGCCGCCGCAGUAA
Molecule: ribosomal RNA, 503 nt
Filed under: uncultured bacterium
Lineage: Bacteria
Description: partial 16S ribosomal RNA
Rfam family: Bacterial small subunit ribosomal RNA
Source: RNAcentral